UGGUGCCAGCAGCCGCGGUAAUUCCAGCUCCAAUAGCGUAUAUUUAAGUUGUUACAGUUAAAAAGCUCGUAGUUGGACUUAGGGGUGGGUCGGUCGGUCUGCCUCACAGUGAGCACCGGUCUAUUCAUCUUUACUACCGGCGAUGCGCUCUUGGCCUUAAUUGGCUGGGUCGUUCCUCCGACGCUGUUACUUUGAAGAAAUUAGAGUGUUCAAAGUAGGCCUACGCUUGUAUACAUUAGCAUGGGAUAACAUCAUAGGAUUUCGAUCCUAUCGUGUUGGCCUUCGGGAUCAGAGUAAUGAUUAAUAAGGACAGUCGGGGCAUUCGUAUUUCAUAGUCAGAGGUGAAAUUCUAGGAUUUAUGAAAGACGAACAACUGCGAAAGCAUUUCCAAGGAUGUUUUCAUUAAUCAAGAAUGAAAGUUGGGGGUUUAAAGAUGAUUAGAUACCGUCCUAGUCUCAACCAUAAACGAUGCCGACCAGGGAUCGGCGAAUAUUGCUUUUAGGACUCCGCUGGCACCUUAUGAAAAAUCAAAGUCUUUGGGUUCUGGGGGGAAUAUGGUUGCAAGGCUGAAACUUAAAGGAAUUGACGGAAGGGCACCACCAAGAGUGGAGCUUGCGGCUUAAUUUGACUCAACACGGGGAAACUUAUCAGGUCCAGACAUAGUAAGGAUUGAUAGACUAAGAGCUCUUUCUUGAUUCUAUGGGUGGUGGUGCAUGGUCGUUCUUAGUUGGUGGAGUGAUUUUUCUGGUUAAUUCCAUUUACGAACGAGACAUCAGCCUGCUAACUAGCUACACGGAGGUGAUCCUCCGUGGCUAGCUUCUUAGAGGGACUAUGGCCUUUUAGGCCACGGAAGUUUGAGGCAAUAACAGGUCUGUGGUGCCCUUGGAAAGGGGCCUAAGUCCCCUAGAAAGGGGCACCGGAGAGGGUGAGAGCCCCAUCAUGCCCGGACCCUGUCGUAUCAUGAGGCACUGUCUACAAGUCAGGUUGUUUAGGAAUGCAACCCUAAUCGGGCUGUAAAUUCCGUCUAAGGCUAAAUACGGGUGAGAGACCGAUAGCGAACAAGU
This 1064-nucleotide non-coding RNA is filed under the name Gossypium arboreum. RNAcentral's name for it is "Eukaryotic small subunit ribosomal RNA". It matches the Rfam family "Eukaryotic small subunit ribosomal RNA", at positions 562 to 1606 of the family's 1831-position model. The record is from Rfam by way of RNAcentral. Lineage: Eukaryota; Viridiplantae; Streptophyta; Magnoliopsida; Malvales; Malvaceae.